CGACAAGCUCGGCGUAAAGUGUGGUUAAUGAGAACUUUCAACUAAAGCCAAACAACCUCAAAGCUGUAUAAAGCGCUAGCAUGAGAACUGGAGGCCCCCCCACGAAAGUGGCUUUAACAAUUAUGACACCACGAAAGCUAGGGAA
RNAcentral lists this ribosomal RNA (145 nucleotides) under Eviota japonica. Its description in RNAcentral is "partial 12S ribosomal RNA". Lineage: Eukaryota; Metazoa; Chordata; Actinopteri; Gobiiformes; Gobiidae. The record is from RNAcentral.